Molecule: long non-coding RNA, 999 nt
Organism: Vicia villosa (hairy vetch)
Lineage: Eukaryota; Viridiplantae; Streptophyta; Magnoliopsida; Fabales; Fabaceae
Exons: 2
Source: RefSeq, a predicted model, not a curated record
UUAUUUUAUAUAGGAAACAACAAAAGCUCUUUCUCUCAUAAGAACAAAAACCAGCCACAUGCAUAUUAAAAAAGAAAAUGAAAAGAAGUAUAGUAAAGCCACACAAAGAAGAACAGAGGCGGAGAGAUACCGAGAAUGGCGGACGGAGCUCCUCCGGCACGGUGGCCGGAGGUGAAAAUUUUCAGAACUCGAAAAUUUUACAUCAUCCCGUUCGUUUUUCUCUCCUUAGUUCAAAUAUCAGUGCAGGUAACACGAAAGUAAAGAUGGAUUCGGUAUCAGAAGAAGGUUCUCAACCUUUUGAGGCAAAGAAAUAAAAAAACGGUGGCGGUUGAGAGCUCCGGCACGGCGGUUUUGGAAUUCCGGCGGUGGUUUCCGGUCAAGCUCGGUUCAGGUGAGUUUUUCUGAUUUUUUUUGUUCUGAGUAAGUCUGAAAAGUUCUGAGCCAAAAGUCCUUUCUGUCAGCGUGAGUCAAUGCUUAUAUAGUGCUCAGAUAAAGAGUUUGUGCUGUGAAUCUUGGGCUGAGAAAUAAUUUCAGAUGAAAUGAUAUUUUUUUGCUUGAAAGCCCAAUACGAGAAUCUGAUUCUUUCAAUCCAAUCUUCCUCUUCUUUUUACUACUUGUGAGAUUCUUAUUAUUUUGUGUUGAAUGGGCCUGGAUUUGUACUUCGGUGUAUGAAUGAUUUUUGUUGAAAUUAUUAAUUCUUCAUUUUUCUCAUUUUUUUCAUAUGAUGAUGAGAUAUGAAUUUUCUUGAAGGAGGAGGUGAACCCGAUGCCAAACCAUGAAGCUUAGAAGAAAAUGGUAGACUUGUGAAGGUGUAAACCAAGAGUUUUGCCAUGAAUUUGUUCUUUGAAUCUUAGACCAUAGGAAAUCUCAAAUUAUGCUUCUUGUAGGAUAAGAAACUUUGUAAUUUGGUAUAGGAACCUUGAAUCCCUCUUGUAUUUUUGAAGCUUUAACUUGAAGAAAAUUGGAUUCUUUGAAUGGAAUGAGGAAUCUUGUUUUGAA